UUCCUACGGGAGGCAGCAGUCGGGAAUAUUGCACAAUGGAGGAAACUCUGAUGCAGUGACGCCGCGUGCAGGAAGAAGGUUUUCGGAUUGUAAACUGCUUUAGAUGGGGAAGAAAAAAGACUGUACCCAUAGAAUAAGCUCCGGCUAACUACGUGCCAGCAGCCGCGGUAAUACGUAGGGGGCAAGCGUUAUCCGGAUUUACUGGGUGUAAAGGGAGCGUAGACGGCAGUGCAAGUCUGAAGUGAAAGGCAAGGGCUCAACCCUUGGACUGCUUUGGAAACUGUGCUGCUCGAGUGUCGGAGAGG
This 305-nucleotide ribosomal RNA is filed under the name uncultured bacterium. Its description in RNAcentral is "bacterial SSU rRNA". It matches the Rfam family "Bacterial small subunit ribosomal RNA", at positions 336 to 657 of the family's 1533-position model. The record is from RNAcentral.